GAGAACCUCCGGGGGCAGGAGGUUCGACUCGAGCGAAGCGAGAGAACGUUGCGUCAGCAACGGCCCGCAGGGCGAGCCACGAAGUGGUG
This 89-nucleotide small RNA is filed under the name Klebsiella pneumoniae. Its description in RNAcentral is "RtT sRNA". It matches the Rfam family "RtT RNA", at positions 24 to 108 of the family's 130-position model. From Rfam's summary of the family: This family represents a bacterial cis-regulatory element known as RtT RNA. The exact function of RtT is unknown although it is thought that it may be involved in changing the cellular response in relation to amino acid starvation. The record is from RNAcentral. Lineage: Bacteria; Pseudomonadati; Pseudomonadota; Gammaproteobacteria; Enterobacterales; Enterobacteriaceae.